GAGGCCAGGGCAGCCCAGCCUCAGCUCAUGGCCUAAGCAGGACUGUGAGCACCAUGGCUCGGAUCCCCGCCCUCCUCGUGCUCCUUUCCCUCUGUGCAGGGUCCCUCUCCCAGCCUGUGCUGACUCAGCCGCCCUCCCUCUCUGCGUCUCCGGGAGCAUCAGCCAGACUGACCUGCAGCCUGAGCAGUGGGACCAUUGUUGGCGGCUACCAUAUAAACUGGUACCAGCAGAAGGCAGGGAGCCCUCCCCGGUACCUGCUAAGGUUCUACUCAGACUCCAAUAAACACCAGGGCUCCGGGGUCCCGAGCCGCUUCUCUGGAUCCAAAGAUGCAUCAGCCAAUGCAGGGCUUCUGCUCAUCUCUGGGCUGCAGCCUGAAGACGAGGCUGACUAUUACUGCGGUACAUAUCAUAGCAACACUGGUACUCACACGGUGCCCCAGCCCCACAGGAACGUGAGACUGAAAGCUCCCCUGUGCUCUCACAGCUGCGCUGUCACUGCUGCUCUGCCUGGGACCAGGUCUGACUCAGGGUGA
Molecule: non-coding RNA, 533 nt
Organism: Vicugna pacos (alpaca)
Lineage: Eukaryota; Metazoa; Chordata; Mammalia; Artiodactyla; Camelidae
Source: the annotation of a RefSeq genome assembly